Molecule: ribosomal RNA, 398 nt
Filed under: uncultured bacterium
Lineage: Bacteria
Description: bacterial SSU rRNA
Rfam family: Bacterial small subunit ribosomal RNA
Source: RNAcentral
AUUGAACGCUGGCGGCAGGCCUAACACAUGCAAGUCGAGCGGAUGAAAGGGGCUUGCUCCUGGAUUCAGCGGCGGACGGGUGAGUAAUGCGCAGGAAUCUACCUAGUAGUGGGGGAUAACGUUUCGAAAGGAACGCUAAUACCGCAUACGUUCUGAGGAAGAAAGCAGGGGAUCGUAAGACCUUGCGCUAUUAGAUGAGCUUGCGUCCGAUUAGCUAGUUGGUGGGGUAAAGGCCUACCAAGGCGACGAUCGGUAACUGGUCUGAGAGGAUGAUCAGUCACACUGGAACUGAGACACGGUCCAGACUCCUACGGGAGGCAGCAGUGGGGAAUAUUGGACAAUGGGGGCAACCCUGAUCCAGCCAUGCCGCGUGUGUGAAGAAGGCCUUCGGUUGUAAG